CUCUCUCUGCGCCUCUCUCUCUCUCUCUCUCUCUCUCUCUCUCUCUCCCUCUCCCUCUACGGUCGAGCUAUGUCCGCUGCACCCCUCGGAUAUAUGAUGUUCCGCAACAAGCGGGUCCCGUCUGCUUCUUCCUACUCCAAGCAGACGUAGGAAUAAAGUCCUGAUAUAGGAAUGCUGCGGAGAUUUGGUUUCUUUUCUGUCCCUGGUUAUUGGAAGGACCACCGGUAAUGCGGUUGUUCUUAUUCAGCUUUGAAUGUAAAUUCUGAUUUUUGGGUUUUUAGUUGUUGGAAAUUCUAAUGCUGUUUCCGUAAGAUGAAUGUAUUUGGUCCGAUUUGUUUGUCAUGGAGAAUUGCAUUUGUUCAAGUGUCGUGUGUUUUCUCGAA
Long non-coding RNA from Magnolia sinica, 383 nucleotides. RefSeq lists it as uncharacterized. The transcript is spliced from 2 exons. NCBI's taxonomy places the organism in Eukaryota, Viridiplantae, Streptophyta, Magnoliopsida, Magnoliales, Magnoliaceae. The record is from RefSeq and is a predicted model, not a curated record.